GAUCAUGGCUCAGGAUGAACGCUGGCGGCGUGCCUAACACAUGCAAGUCGAGCGGGAAAUACUUGAUUGAAACUUCGGUCGAUUGAUAGUAUGGAGAGCGGCGGACGGGUGAGUAACGCGUAGGCAACCUGCCUUAUGCAGAGGGAUAGCCAUUGGAAACGAUGAUUAAAACCUCAUAAUGCCAAGGGUUCACAUGUACUUUUGGCCAAAGAUUUAUCGGCAUAAGAUGGG
Molecule: ribosomal RNA, 231 nt
Filed under: uncultured bacterium
Lineage: Bacteria
Description: partial 16S ribosomal RNA
Rfam family: Bacterial small subunit ribosomal RNA
Source: RNAcentral